CCCUUAGAUGUCCGGGGCUGCACGCGCGCUACACUGAAGGAAUCAGCGUGCUAAAACCAUUGUCGAAAGGCAUUGGUAAACCUAUUAAAAUCCUACGUGAUUGGGAUCGGGAAUUGCAAUUAUUUCCCUUGAACGAGGAAUUCCCAGUAAGUGUGGGUCAUAAGCUCGCGUUGAUUACGUCCCUGCCCUUUGUACACACCGCCCGUCGCUGCCCGGGACUGAGCCGUUUCGAGAAAAGCGGGGACUGCUGCUGUCGGGGCUUUCGGGCCUUGGCUUCGGUGGAAACCGCUUUAAUCGCAGUGGCUUGAACCGGGCAAAAGUCGUAACA
RNAcentral lists this ribosomal RNA (328 nucleotides) under uncultured eukaryote. Its description in RNAcentral is "partial 18S ribosomal RNA". It matches the Rfam family "Eukaryotic small subunit ribosomal RNA", at positions 1470 to 1796 of the family's 1831-position model. The record is from RNAcentral.